This 69-nucleotide transfer RNA is filed under the name Rattus norvegicus (Norway rat). It matches the Rfam family "tRNA". Rfam says of the family: Transfer RNA (tRNA) molecules are approximately 80 nucleotides in length. Their secondary structure includes four short double-helical elements and three loops (D, anti-codon, and T loops). Further hydrogen bonds mediate the characteristic L-shaped molecular structure. tRNAs have two regions of fundamental functional importance: the anti-codon, which is responsible for specific mRNA codon recognition, and the 3' end, to which the tRNAs corresponding amino acid is attached (by aminoacyl-tRNA synthetases). tRNAs cope with the degeneracy of the genetic code in two manners: having more than one tRNA (with a specific anti-codon) for a particular amino acid; and 'wobble' base-pairing, i.e. permitting non-standard base-pairing at the 3rd anti-codon position. Lineage: Eukaryota; Metazoa; Chordata; Mammalia; Rodentia; Muridae. The record is from Rfam by way of RNAcentral.
GGGGAUUUAGCUCAGUGGUAGGGCGCUUGCCUAGCAAGCACAAGGCCCUGGGUUCAGUCCCCAGCUCCG